RNAcentral lists this ribosomal RNA (346 nucleotides) under uncultured prokaryote. RNAcentral describes it as "bacterial SSU rRNA". It matches the Rfam family "Bacterial small subunit ribosomal RNA", at positions 8 to 352 of the family's 1533-position model. The record is from RNAcentral.
AGAGUUUGAUCCUGGCUCAGGACGAACGCUGGCGGCGUGCUUAAGACAUGCAAGUCGAACGGGUUCAGUUCCUUCGGGGACUGAGUUAGUGGCGAACGGGUGCGUAACACGUGAGCAACCUGCCCCAAAGUUUGGAAUAACACCGGGAAACCGAUGCUAAUACCAAAUAUGCUCACACUAUCACAAGAUAGAGUGAGGAAAGUUUUUUCGCUUUGGGAGGGGCUCGCGGCCUAUCAGCUAGUUGGUAGGGUAACGGCCUACCAAAGGCAAAGACGGGUAGCUGGUCUGAGAGGACGAUCAGCCACACUGGCACUGAGACACGGGCCAGACUCCUACGGGAGGCGAC